RNAcentral lists this long non-coding RNA (353 nucleotides) under Felis catus (domestic cat). Its description in RNAcentral is "lncRNA (ENSFCAG00000051027.1)". The record is from RNAcentral. Lineage: Eukaryota; Metazoa; Chordata; Mammalia; Carnivora; Felidae.
CCCCGCCCUUAAUGCUGUGUCUCUGACGUCAGCUUCUGAGACAGCGGGGCCGAGGCAAUAAUAGCCCCUUAAAUAUGCACUUCCUCCAACGGGUCAUGACACUCGCUUCACUGUGAUUGCAGCAGAGGAUAUGGGGUGACAUCAGCCUGGAAGAUUCUCAGCUGGUCCGGGACUGAGGGUGAGGCCAACGAGACCUUCAGCUAAGCUACGAAAUUUAAGGGGACACCACAAGAACCCAGUAAGCAAGAUAAAUAAUCUUUAAUGCAAAAUUUGUAAGAAUCAAACUUAAUGCAAAAACAAUCUGAGAUGAACAAAGUCUCAACACUUUAAAUAAACACGUGAUCUAAAGUCCA